UGAGGACUGGUGCUUGCACUGGUCUAAGGAGUUGCGAACGGGUGAGUAACGCGUAGGUAACCUACCUCAUAGCGGGGGAUAACUAUUGGAAACGAUAGCUAAUACCGCAUGACAAUAGGGUACACAUGUACCCUAUUUAAAAGGGGCAAAUGCUUCACUAUGAGAUGGACCUGCGUUGUAUUAGCUAGUUGGUAAGGUAACGGCUUACCAAGGCGACGAUACAUAGCCGACCUGAGAGGGUGAUCGGCCACACUGGGACUGAGACACGGCCCAGACUCCUACGGGAGGCAGCAGUAGGGAAUCUUCGGC
Molecule: ribosomal RNA, 309 nt
Filed under: Streptococcus uberis
Lineage: Bacteria; Bacillati; Bacillota; Bacilli; Lactobacillales; Streptococcaceae
Description: bacterial SSU rRNA
Rfam family: Bacterial small subunit ribosomal RNA
Source: RNAcentral